UUUUGAUUUUUUUGUUUAAUCCCUUUAUUUUAAUUAAUUCAUAUUAAUAUCAUUUUUAAUCCAAAAAAUAUGGAACUUUCACCAAAAAUCUUUAAAUAUUUUCCUCUUUAAUUUUCUGAAUUAAAAUUAUUUUUUGGAUUAAUUUUGAUAUUUUUCAUGAAUUAAUUGUUUUUAUGCAUAUUUUUAAUUAUUUAAAAAUACUUUUGACUUUUCAAAAAUUAUGAAAUUUU
This 230-nucleotide long non-coding RNA is filed under the name Lathyrus oleraceus (garden pea). RNAcentral's name for it is "Pisum sativum (pea) long non-coding RNA (PSAT_LNC019510)". Lineage: Eukaryota; Viridiplantae; Streptophyta; Magnoliopsida; Fabales; Fabaceae. The record is from RNAcentral.